RNAcentral lists this ribosomal RNA (426 nucleotides) under uncultured bacterium. RNAcentral's name for it is "partial 16S ribosomal RNA". It matches the Rfam family "Bacterial small subunit ribosomal RNA", at positions 354 to 796 of the family's 1533-position model. The record is from RNAcentral.
GUGAGGAAUUUUCCGCAAUGGGCGAAAGCCUGACGGAGCAAUGCCGCGUGAAGGAUGAAGGCCUAUGGGUUGUAAACUUCUUUUCUCAGAAAAGAAUUAUGACGGUAUCUGAGGAAUAAGCAUCGGCUAACUCUGUGCCAGCAGCCGCGGUAAGACAGAGGAUGCAAGCGUUAUCCGGAAUGAUUGGGCGUAAAGCGUCUGUAGGUUGUUUAAAAAGUAUUCUGUCAAAGAUUAGGGCUUAACCCUAGAUAGGCAGAAUAAACUUUUAAGCUAGAGUUUGGUAGAGGCAGAGGGAAUUCCCGGUGGAGCGGUGAAAUGCGUAGAGAUCGGGAGGAACACCAAAGGCGAAGGCACUCUGCUGGGCCAAUACUAACACUGAGAGACGAAAGCGAGGGGAGCAAAUGGGAUUAGAAACCCCAGUAGUCC